GCCGAUGUGGCUCAGGUGGUAGAGCAAUUGAUUCGUAAUCAAUAGGUCGGGAGUUCGAGUCUCCCCAUCGGCACCA
Molecule: transfer RNA, 76 nt
Filed under: Acinetobacter sp. CAG:196
Lineage: Bacteria; Pseudomonadati; Pseudomonadota; Gammaproteobacteria; Moraxellales; Moraxellaceae
Also listed under: 8 other names
Description: transfer RNA-Thr(CGT)
Rfam family: tRNA
About the family: Transfer RNA (tRNA) molecules are approximately 80 nucleotides in length. Their secondary structure includes four short double-helical elements and three loops (D, anti-codon, and T loops). Further hydrogen bonds mediate the characteristic L-shaped molecular structure. tRNAs have two regions of fundamental functional importance: the anti-codon, which is responsible for specific mRNA codon recognition, and the 3' end, to which the tRNAs corresponding amino acid is attached (by aminoacyl-tRNA synthetases). tRNAs cope with the degeneracy of the genetic code in two manners: having more than one tRNA (with a specific anti-codon) for a particular amino acid; and 'wobble' base-pairing, i.e. permitting non-standard base-pairing at the 3rd anti-codon position.
Source: RNAcentral